Molecule: non-coding RNA, 70 nt
Organism: Phrynosoma platyrhinos (Desert horned lizard)
Lineage: Eukaryota; Metazoa; Chordata; Lepidosauria; Squamata; Phrynosomatidae
Source: the annotation of a GenBank genome assembly
GCCAGAGUGGCGUACUGGUUUGUGUUGGACUAUGACUCUAGAAACAAGGGUUCAAAUCCCCACUCAGACA